RNAcentral lists this ribosomal RNA (266 nucleotides) under uncultured prokaryote. RNAcentral describes it as "partial 16S ribosomal RNA". It matches the Rfam family "Bacterial small subunit ribosomal RNA", at positions 524 to 788 of the family's 1533-position model. The record is from RNAcentral.
UACGUAGGUGGCAAGCGUUAUCCGGAAUUAUUGGGCGUAAAGAGCGCGCAGGUGGUUGAUUAAGUCUGAUGUGAAAGCCCACGGCUUAACCGUGGAGGGUCAUUGGAAACUGGUCGACUUGAGUGCAGAAGAGGGAAGUGGAAUUCCAUGUGUAGCGGUGAAAUGCGUAGAGAUAUGGAGGAACACCAGUGGCGAAGGCGGCUUCCUGGUCUGUAACUGACACUGAGGCGCGAAAGCGUGGGGAGCAAACAGGAUUAGAUACCCCU